RNAcentral lists this transfer RNA (55 nucleotides) under Aclerda takahashii. Its description in RNAcentral is "tRNA-Ala". The record is from RNAcentral. Lineage: Eukaryota; Metazoa; Arthropoda; Insecta; Hemiptera; Aclerdidae.
UUAAUUUUAAAUAUUUUAAUAUUUUUAAAUUUGCAAUUUAAAUUUUACAAUUAAC